GGGUGCUCGAAAGAGAACCGGCGCACAGGUGCUGCAUGGCUGUCGUCAGCUCGUGUCGUGAGAUGUUGGGUUAAGUCCCGCAACGAGCGCAACCCUUGUCAUUAGUUGCUACGAAAGGGCACUCUAAUGAGACUGCCGGUGACAAACCGGAGGAAGGUGGGGAUGACGUCAAGUCCUCAUGGCCCUUAUGGGUAGGGCUUCACACGUCAUACAAUGGUACAUACAGAGGGUCGCCAACCCGCGAGGGGGAGCAAAUCCCAGAAAGUGUAUCGUAGUCCGGAUUGUAGUCUGCAACUCGACUACAUGAAGUUGGAAUCGCUAGUAAUCGCGGAUCAGCAUGUCGCGGUGAAUACGUUCCCGGGUCUUGUACACACCGCCCGUCACACCAUGGGAGCGGGUUUUACCAGAAGUAGGUAGCCUAACCGCAAGGAGGGCGCUUACCACGGUAGGAUUCGUGACUGGGGUGAAG
Molecule: ribosomal RNA, 469 nt
Filed under: uncultured beta proteobacterium
Lineage: Bacteria; Pseudomonadati; Pseudomonadota; Betaproteobacteria
Description: bacterial SSU rRNA
Rfam family: Bacterial small subunit ribosomal RNA
Source: RNAcentral